UUGGAGGGCAAGUCUGGUGCCAGCAGCCGCGGUAAUUCCAGCUCCAAUAGCGUAUAUUAAAGUUGUUGCAGUUAAAAAGCUCGUAGUUGAAUUUCGGGAUUCUUCCGUUGGUCAGGCUAACAAGUCUGUACUAGCGUGUAGAAUCUCUACCUUCUGGGGAACCAUCAUGUUAUUAAUUUAGCGUGGUGGGAAACCAGGACCUUUACCUUGAAAAAAUUAGAGUGUUCAAAGCAGGCUUACGUCUGAAUACAUUAGCAUGGAAUAGUAAAAUAGGACGGUGGUCCUGUUUUGUUGGUUUCUGAAUCACCGUAAUGAUUAAUAGGGAUAGUUGGGGGCAUUAGUAUUCAAUUGUCAGAGGUGAAAUUCUUGGAUUUAUUGAAGACUAACUUCUGCGAAAGCAUUUGCCAAGGAUGUUUUCAUUAAUCAAGAACGAAAGUUAGGGGAUCGAAGACGAUCAGAUACCGUCGUAGUCUUAACCAUAAACUAUGCCGACUAGGGAUCGGACGAUGUUAAAUUUUAUUGACUCGUUCGGCGCCUUACGGGAAAC
This 547-nucleotide ribosomal RNA is filed under the name uncultured Glomeromycotina. Its description in RNAcentral is "SSU rRNA". It matches the Rfam family "Eukaryotic small subunit ribosomal RNA", at positions 548 to 1098 of the family's 1831-position model. Lineage: Eukaryota; Fungi; Glomeromycota. The record is from RNAcentral.